This 598-nucleotide ribosomal RNA is filed under the name Clypeosectus curvus. RNAcentral describes it as "SSU rRNA". It matches the Rfam family "Eukaryotic small subunit ribosomal RNA", at positions 1187 to 1785 of the family's 1831-position model. Lineage: Eukaryota; Metazoa; Mollusca; Gastropoda; Lepetellida; Lepetodrilidae. The record is from RNAcentral.
GGCUUAAUUUGACUCAACACGGGGAAACUCACCCGGUCCGGACACUGGAAGGAUUGACAGAUUAAAAGCUCUUUCUUGAUUCAGUGGGUGGUGGUGCAUGGCCGUUCUUAGUUGGUGGAGUGAUUUGUCUGGUUAAUUCCGAUAACGAACGAGACUCUAGCCUGCUAACUAGUUCGCCGGCAGCUCUUGUCGCGCGGCGCCGCUUCGGCGGCAAACUUCUUAGAGGGACAGGUGGCGUUUAGCCACACGAAGUAGAGCAAUAACAGGUCUGUGAUGCCCUUAGAUGUCCGGGGCCGCACGCGCGCUACACUGAAAGAAUCAACGUGGAUGCCCACCUGCUCCGAGAGGAGUGGGAAACCCGCUGAAUCUCUUUCGUGAUGGGGAUUGGGGCUUGUAAUUGUUCCCCAUGAACGAGGAAUUCCCAGUAAGCGUCAGUCAUCAGCUGGCGCUGAUUACGUCCCUGCCCUUUGUACACACCGCCCGUCGCUACUACCGAUUGAAUGGUUUAGUGAGACCCUCGGACUGAAGUCCGGCUGCCGCUUUCGGGUGGUGGAAGGGGACGGAAAGACGGUCGAACUUGAUCAUUUAGAGGAAGUAA